CCUACGGGUGGCAGCAGUGGGGAAUAUUGGGCAAUGGACGCAAGUCUGACCCAGCAACGCCGCGUGAAGGAAGAAGGCUUUCGGGUUGUAAACUUCUUUUUAGAUGGAAGUGCAGAACACCGUACCCCUUGAAUAAUCCAUGUCUAACUACGUGACAGCAGCCGCGGGAAUACGGAGGGGGCAAGCGUUGUCCGGAUUUACUGGGUUUAAAGGGCUUGCAGCCGGGAAGACAAGUCAGAUGUGAAAUCUCGCGGCUCAACCGCGAAACUGCAUUUGAAACUGUUUUUCUUGAGUAUCGGAGAGGUGAUCGGAAUUCGUGGUGUAGCGGUGAAAUGCGUAGAUAUUAGGAAGAACACCAGUGGCGAAGGCGGAUUACUGGACGACAACUGACAGUGAGGCGCGAAAGCGUGGGGAGCAAACAGGAUUAGAUACCCGAGUAGUC
RNAcentral lists this ribosomal RNA (442 nucleotides) under uncultured bacterium. RNAcentral describes it as "partial 16S ribosomal RNA". It matches the Rfam family "Bacterial small subunit ribosomal RNA", at positions 338 to 795 of the family's 1533-position model. The record is from RNAcentral.